Molecule: ribosomal RNA, 203 nt
Filed under: uncultured bacterium
Lineage: Bacteria
Description: partial 16S ribosomal RNA
Rfam family: Bacterial small subunit ribosomal RNA
Source: RNAcentral
CAGUUCAGAUUGCAGGCUGCAACUCGCCUGCAUGAAGGCGGAAUUGCUAGUAAUCGCGAAUCAGAAUGUCGCGGUGAAUACGUUCCCGGGCCUUGUACACACCGCCCGUCAAGCCAUGGGAGCCGGGGGUACCUGAAGUGCGUGACCGCAAGGAGCGCCCUAAGGUAAAACCGGUGACUGGGGCUAAGUCGUAACAAGGUAUC